GAUGAACGCUGGCGGCGUGCCUAAUACAUGCAAGUCGAGCGAAUGGAUUAAGAGCUUGCUCUUAUGAAGUUAGCGGCGGACGGGUGAGUAACACGUGGGUAACCUGCCCAUAAGACUGGGAUAACUCCGGGAAACCGGGGCUAAUACCGGAUAACAUUUUGAACCGCAUGGUUCGAAAUUGAAAGGCGGCUUCGGCUGUCACUUAUGGAUAGACCCGCGUCGCAUUAGCUAGUUGGUGAGGUAACGGCUCACCAAGGCAACGAUGCGUAGCCGACCUGGAAGGGUGAUCGGCCACACUGGGACUGAGACACGGCCCAGACUCCUACGGGAGGCAGCAGUAGGGAAUCUUCCGCAAUGGACGAAAGUCUGACGGAGCAACGCCGCGUGAGUGAUGAAGGCUUUCGGGUCGUAAAACUCUGUUGUUAGGGAAGAACAAGUGCUAGUUGAAUAAGCUGGCACCUUGACGGUACCUAACCAGAAAGCCACGACUAACUACGUGCCAGCCGCCGCAGUAA
Molecule: ribosomal RNA, 515 nt
Filed under: uncultured bacterium
Lineage: Bacteria
Description: partial 16S ribosomal RNA
Rfam family: Bacterial small subunit ribosomal RNA
Source: RNAcentral